Molecule: ribosomal RNA, 683 nt
Filed under: uncultured Tomentella
Lineage: Eukaryota; Fungi; Basidiomycota; Agaricomycetes; Thelephorales; Thelephoraceae
Description: eukaryotic LSU rRNA
Rfam family: 5.8S ribosomal RNA (bases 255-409)
Source: RNAcentral
AGGAAGUAAAAGUCGUAACAAGGUUUCCGUAGGUGAACCUGCGGAGGAUCAUUACCGAAUUGUCAACACGAGUUGUUGCUGGUCCUCGAACGGGGGCAUGUGCACGCUCUGUUUACACAUCCACUCACACCUGUGCACCUUCUGUAGUUCUGUGGCAUGGGGGACUCUGUCCUCCUGUUGUGGUCCUACGUCUUUACACACACUCUGUAAAAAAGUCUCAUGGAAUGCAUGACGCGUUUAACGCAAUACAAUACAACUUUCAGCAACGGAUCUCUUGGCUCUCGCAUCGAUGAAGAACGCAGCGAAAUGCGAUAAGUAAUGUGAAUUGCAGAAUUCAGUGAAUCAUCGAAUCUUUGAACGCACCUUGCGCCCUUUGGCUAUUCCGAAGGGCAUGCCUGUUUGAGUAUCGUGAACACCUCAACUCUCAUGGUUUGCCAUGAUGAGCUUGGACUUUGGGGGUCUUGCUGGCCUGUGGUCAGCUCCUCUCAAAUGGAUCAGCUUGCCAGUGUUUGGUGGCAUCACAGGUGUGAUAACUAUCUACGCUUGUGGUUUUCUACCAGAUAACCUUCAGUGAUGGAGGUUCGCUGGAGCUCAUAAAUGUCUCUCCUCGGUGAAGACAGCUUUUCGAACGUUUGAUCUCAAAUCAGGUAGGACUACCCGCUGAACUUAAGCAUAUCAAUAAA